This 247-nucleotide ribosomal RNA is filed under the name uncultured bacterium. RNAcentral describes it as "partial 16S ribosomal RNA". It matches the Rfam family "Bacterial small subunit ribosomal RNA", at positions 524 to 768 of the family's 1533-position model. The record is from RNAcentral.
UACGGGGGGGAGCAAGCGUUGUUCGGAAUUACUGGGCGUAAAGGGCCAGUAGGCGGCCAACUAAGUCCGACAUGAAAUCCCUGGGCUCAACCCAGGAACUGCGUCCGAUACUGGUUGGCUUGAAUCCGGGAGAGGGAUGUGGAAUUCCAGGUGUAGCGGUGAAAUGCGUAGAUAUCUGGAGGAACACCGGUGGCGAAGGCGACAUCCUGGACCGGUAUUGACGCUGAGGGCGCGAAAGCCAGGGGAG